CGCUGUGUUGACACGCUCUGCACCUUGCUCCUGCCCUCGCCUUUUACUCCUCUUAUCCCCCCGAUACCCCGAUCAUUCCUGACAGCUCCUGAGUGCCUGGAUUUCAUCAUCCAGCCCUGCAGGAUGCUCCCAUUUGUCCUGAGGGAGGCUGUCCCAGAUGGAGAGGAGGAGAUGGAGGUGGAUACAAAGAUUGAUAUGGAUGAGGAGAUGGAAAUUGACGGAGAAGACACUGGAGAGGAAGAGAUGGACUUGGAUGUGGAUGAGGAAGAGGAGAUGGAAGUGGAUAUGGAAGAGUCCAUUGAGGACAUGGACAUUGAUUGAAAAGGCUGUCCCAGACGGAGAGGAGGAGAUGGAGGUGGAUACAAAGAUUGAUAUGGAUGAGGAGAUGGAAAUUGACGGAGAAGACUCUGGAGAGGAAGAGAUGGACGUGGAUGUGGAUGAGGAAGAGGAGAUGGAUGUGGAUAUGGAAGAGUCCAUUGAGGACAUGGACAUUGAUUGAAAAGGACCAGUGGACAUCAUGGACAGGGACAUCUACAAUCAAUAAAAGGUUUUUUUCCAUUUUCUCAAGCCACGCGUUGGGUGCCACUAACUGUAUUUGUCCUGGUUUAGGGUAAGUUUGGGAGAUAACCCCCAAAGGGGCUUCUCUACAAAAGCAGAUUCAAUUGCCCCUCCCCCCUCCAACCAGUUCGGGAGAAAAUAUCUCCUUGCAGAAAAAUGGAAAGAAACCUGUUUAUUAAACAAUAGAAACCAAACAAUAUUAAGCAAAAAAACUUCUCACUGAUCCAAGGAAAGCAAACUCAGAACAGUCCCCUCCCCGGGUUGCAGCUCGGCUCACUCAGUCUCUGAUCAGUCUCUCUGGUGCUGGAAAUGCUGCUGCCCAGGCCCGGCCAGGGGCCACAGGUGGAGCUGCCGGUGCUCUUCUGGGUGUUCAGUCCAGAGCAGGCUUGAACAGGUCCAAGAAAAAAGGAAAAAAAUCACAAUCCGGAGAACUUCUUUGCCUCAGCUAGCUAAAACUAACUAAAAGCAAGAAAAAGGGAAAAAAGGAGCUCUGUCCGUCUGUCUGUCCAUCCGCAGACAACACAGUCCAGGAGCAGGAAUGUGGAGGAGUGAGAGCAGUCUGAAAACAAACUGUGCGCUUCUUUCCUGCCCUCUUCACUGUCUGGAAGAGAGUCUUAAAGGUGUAAAAAUUAUUCUUCAGUAUAAAGAGAACAAGACGACUGGGGAUUAAAGCGUCAUAUAGUCAACCCAGGACAUUCCACCCCUUAUCCCCAUAUCGUUGUGGAGGAUUUUGUGAACAGGUGGCUAGCUAACAAAGGUCACACUGACAUAAUACCGUUAGUUAGGGAUGAAGGAGACGAGGAUAGGAGUCAGCAGUCAGUGUCCAAACCUGGCAAGGGCACUGUGCCCUUGGUGCAACAUCAGGAUGGGGGAGAGGUUCGUUAGUUGGAAACAUGAAGAAAAUAUGUAAACAGCUGCAGCAUAGUAGCCUCAAGAAUGAUAAGGUAGGCGUAGUUAGCUGAUAAGUAACUAACCAAUAAUGAGCUCGCUUUUUGCAAUAUGUAUUAGCCUCAUUAACACCAAUAUAAAUGUAUGUGCCUAUCAAUAAAGUUUUGAGAUUUGCUGAUUACUCAUAUUGAGUGCCGCAUUUCUUCCGCCGAUUACCACAAAUGGUGACCCCGGACGUUAAAUCGGUAACGGCAACCACGGUGGAUCGGUGAACGAGUUCGGGUCCUACAGCAGCAAGGACGGCGAAUAAGCACUGCUGAAAAAGCGAAAAGUGCCGCGCCCUGGGUGACCUUAUAGAAGAGCCUGGCCGAUACGUGCUGCCGAGACCUUGAAGGGCUGCAAAAACGUCGACGUUCUCAAAAAUGGAAAUGGAAAUGGAAAGGUGCAAAAUCCAGAUGGAUUUCAAUGAAGAAUGUGAAACUUUAUCAAGAACAAGAGAAACGUUGACCAUUCAACAAGCAAAGAAGACAGACAGAUACUGGACUGUGUGACGCAGGGCAGUGUCCGGAGACGAGACCUUAACCUCCCUAUACAGCUGACAGUUUGGUGUGGAACUAAAUACUUACUAGGUGCACUUACUCAGCAAAACAGAAAAACAGGGGAAGUGUGGAGGAUUUUGUGAACAGGUGGCUAGCUAACAAAGGUCACACUGACAUAAUACCGUUAGUUAGGGAUGAAGGAGACGAGGAUAGGAGUCAGCAGUCAGUGUCCAAACCUGGCAAGGGCACUGUGCCCUUGGUGCAACAUCAGGAUGGGGGAGAGGUUCGUUAGUUGGAAACAUGAAGAAAAUAUGUAAACAGCUGCAGCAUAGUAGCCUCAAGAAUGAUAAGGUAGGCGUAGUUAGCUGAUAAGUAACUAACCAAUAAUGAGCUCGCUUUUUGCAAUAUGUAUUAGCCUCAUUAACACCAAUAUAAAUGUAUGUGCCUAUCAAUAAAGUUUUGAGAUUUGCUGAUUA
This is a long non-coding RNA of Passer domesticus (house sparrow), 2461 nucleotides long. RefSeq lists it as uncharacterized. The record is from RefSeq and is a predicted model, not a curated record. NCBI's taxonomy places the organism in Eukaryota, Metazoa, Chordata, Aves, Passeriformes, Passeridae. The transcript has 5 exons.